UGAUAAAAAAAGGACUUUAACCUUUAUUACAGGAGCUACAAUCCUAUACCUAAUUCAGCCAUUUUACCA
RNAcentral lists this transfer RNA (69 nucleotides) under Lyciasalamandra luschani basoglui. Its description in RNAcentral is "tRNA-Tyr". Lineage: Eukaryota; Metazoa; Chordata; Amphibia; Caudata; Salamandridae. The record is from RNAcentral.